This 253-nucleotide ribosomal RNA is filed under the name uncultured bacterium. Its description in RNAcentral is "partial 16S ribosomal RNA". It matches the Rfam family "Bacterial small subunit ribosomal RNA", at positions 524 to 776 of the family's 1533-position model. The record is from RNAcentral.
UACGAAGGGGGCUAGCGUUGUUCGGAAUUACUGGGCGUAAAGCGUGCGCAGGCGGCUUCUCAAGUCAGGGGUGAAAGCCCAGAGCUUAACUCUGGAAUUGCCUUUGAGACUGAGAGGCUUGAGUACGGGAGAGGUGAGUGGAAUUCCCAGUGUAGAGGUGAAAUUCGUAGAUAUCGGGAGGAACACCAGUGGUGAAGGCGGCGAUCUGGGAAGAUACUGACGCUGAGGUGCGAAAGCGUGGGGAGCAAACAGG